CGACCUCGGGCUGUACGGGACUACCCGGUGGAUUUAAGCAUAUUAAUAAGCGGAGGGAAAAC
This 62-nucleotide ribosomal RNA is filed under the name Bactericera tremblayi. RNAcentral's name for it is "partial 28S ribosomal RNA". The record is from RNAcentral. Lineage: Eukaryota; Metazoa; Arthropoda; Insecta; Hemiptera; Triozidae.